This 463-nucleotide ribosomal RNA is filed under the name uncultured bacterium. RNAcentral's name for it is "bacterial SSU rRNA". It matches the Rfam family "Bacterial small subunit ribosomal RNA", at positions 32 to 523 of the family's 1533-position model. The record is from RNAcentral.
AAUCAACGCUGGCGGCGUGCCUAACACAUGCAAGUCGAACGAGAAAGUGGAGCAAUCCAUGAGUAAAGUGGCGCACGGGUGAGUAACACGUGACUAACCUACCCUUGAGUGGGGGAUAACCUAGGGAAACCUGGGCUAAUACCGCAUAAUACCUACGGGUCAAAGGAGCAAUUCGCUUUAGGAGGGGGUCGCGGCAGACUAGUUAGUUGGCGGGGUAAUGGCCCACCAAGACGAUGANCUGUAUCCGGCCUGAGAGGGCGCACGGACACACUGGAACUGAAACACGGUCCAGACUCCUACGGGAGGCAGCAGUGGGGAAUUUUGCGCAAUGGGGGAAACCCUGACGCAGCAACGCCGCGUGGAGGAUGAAGACCCUUGGGUCGUAAACUCCUUUCGAUCGGGACGAUAAUGACGGUACCGGAAGAAGAAGCCCCGGCUAACUUCGUGCCAGCCGCCGCCGUAA